Molecule: long non-coding RNA, 91 nt
Organism: Melitaea cinxia (Glanville fritillary)
Lineage: Eukaryota; Metazoa; Arthropoda; Insecta; Lepidoptera; Nymphalidae
Exons: 3
Source: RefSeq, a predicted model, not a curated record
UUUAAAAUUAGUUAAACAUCAGUUAAUAAAAAAAUACAGUGUGUGAUUAAGACCGCACGGCAGGAGGGAAAACUUAAUUGGCAAUCGCAAU